AGCCGGGGAGUUAGCGGUGCCCUGUACCUGCAAUCCGCUACAGCAGGGGUGAUGCCAAUCCGAGGACUGUCUCCUGUGGAGCUGCCCUUUGUAAGUGGCGUUGACGUUUGGGUCUUACGCAACAGGAAUCUGUGAACCGUGUCAGGGCAGGAAUGCAGCAGCACUAAGCAGAAGCUUCUGUGUGCCGUAAGGGUGCCUGGGCCGAGUUAACUGCAGAGGUAACGUCCAUGGGCGCUUUUCGACGUGCGGCGCGC
This 254-nucleotide signal recognition particle RNA is filed under the name uncultured Blautia sp. RNAcentral describes it as "Bacterial large signal recognition particle RNA". It matches the Rfam family "Bacterial large signal recognition particle RNA". Rfam says of the family: The signal recognition particle (SRP) is a universally conserved ribonucleoprotein involved in the co-translational targeting of proteins to membranes. Archaeal SRP consists of a 7S RNA and homologues of the eukaryotic SRP19 and SRP54 proteins. The record is from RNAcentral. Lineage: Bacteria; Bacillati; Bacillota; Clostridia; Lachnospirales; Lachnospiraceae.